GAAAUGGCGGCGGUUUCACGGUACCGUCGCUUUCACCGACAGUAAAACGUAAAACCCGGUCGUGGUAACACCAGAGUCCAAACCACGCGCUCCUAGAGCCGACAAUGCACAAAUAUCGAUGGAUUUCGUUGGCUAUGGAUUUUAACGGAUAUGUGACACUAGCGGCACCUAGAAAAGUUGAAAACUACAUGACGUCGGGGUUAAACAUCAAUAAAUAAAUAAAUUGGUAGCGUUUGUUUUAUUCAUACAUUAGUUUGGUGACUUAUCAAUUUAAACAAAUCUCCACAGACAAAUUAUAACAGCACAGUCGUACCGUCGGUGUCAUCCUUGGUGUUAUCCUACGUUGAUUUCAUGAAUUGCAGUUUACACCAACACGCUCGGCAACAAGCAGUAAAAUAAUUAUGCCUAAUUUUUAACAACAAACAAGAAAAGUAGCGAGAAGUAUAUUCUUAUUGAAUCAUAUACCGACUAACCACUGAUCGGUAUAGCCAGCUUCGCGACCUCACCUGUCUCGGCUGGCAACCCGAUUUUCGAGUUUUGUUCUUUUUCUUUGUUUCUUCCGUGUCCACGUUGUUGCUGUCGCGUGUCAACGGUUAUACAACGGUGUUACUAAAAUAUUUUUAUUUCUGUUUUAAGUAGUAUGGUGCGUGUGUGGCAGUACUCACGUUGGACAAUGUUCCAGAAGAACUUUUCGUCUAGUUGAACUAUCUGCUUGAGUUGUCCAUUUCGGGUUAGUACUUGCUUUCCAUACCACGUCCUUUUUUUCCAUCCCCCUCUCUUUUUGUGUUACUCGAAAUUCAUUCCGUUCGUGUUUUCGUAAGUAGCGUCCUAAAGGACUAGUACAGAUGUUGGCUAGCGUUUCACAACUUUCGUUCACCUAUAGUUGAACGGCCUACUUGUUUCUAUUUUUGGGAAAGUUAGUUUAGUCUCAUUCUGAACCGCUUCGUUAUUUCGCGCAUAUCAUCCGUACCACGCUUUGUUUUUUCCGUCUUCGCCCGUUCCUGUCUGGCUGGAAGCACAUCCAGUCUGCGACUGUGAGCUACAGGUCUGCACGGUGGAGAGGGGCUUCCCCACGCCUGGGUCAAGCACAUCCAGUCUGCCGCUGUGAGCUACAGACGGACACUCCCUCCAAGGUCUGACUAGGACAUGGGUCAGACAACAGCAAGACAGCUGCUAAAUAUAUGGCAGAAGAGCUUUCCAGGGCAGAAAGGUAUUGCACAGUUGACAAAAAGGGCGACUGUCGAGGAGUGGAGCCACCAGAAGAUCUGGAGAAAAUGCAUACUAUUAAAAUUAUCAUCUUAUUUCAAUAUA
This 1311-nucleotide long non-coding RNA is filed under the name Ixodes scapularis (black-legged tick). RNAcentral describes it as "uncharacterized LOC115330092". Lineage: Eukaryota; Metazoa; Arthropoda; Arachnida; Ixodida; Ixodidae. The record is from RNAcentral.